Non-coding RNA from Mycena rosella, 96 nucleotides. The record is from the annotation of a GenBank genome assembly. Lineage: Eukaryota; Fungi; Basidiomycota; Agaricomycetes; Agaricales; Mycenaceae.
GACCUCAUGGCUUAGCGGUUAUAGCACCGGCUGACCAUCACACCCUGUUUAAAAUGGAUUCCGCUGCUGGCGUGGGUUCGAGUCCCACUGAGGUCG